CUAGAGGAAAGUUAGCUAAGAGCAUAACUGAGUCUGCCCAUUGGGAAUUCUGAAGCCAAAGUUGGGAGGGGCAAGUCCUUCCAAUUUAUAGUGAGUGACUUCCUGGUUCUGAACAAGGACAGUUCCUGCCUGAUAAGGACAGUUUAUGAGCACUCUAGCAUGUGUGUAGUUAAGCAACCAUUCCUCCUCCUCCCUCCCCCUCCUUCCUUUCAUAGAUAUUUGUUGUCUGCCCUCACCAGAGGGGGGAAGCAGAGACCAUCAGCAAAGCUUGAAAUAAUUUACUAGAAAGAAAGUCCAUUGAUUCCACUGGAGCUUACUUCUAAGUAAACACAAACACACAAAAGAAUCGGGACCAGCAGAGAUCCUAGGCAAGAAUGUGAGUUUUCUCUUUUUCCCUUCCUCCAGUCCCUCAGCAAAGCAUAGAAGGGGGGAACUCAAAUUAUUCCUCUAGGGUUUACUUCCAAGUAAAAAUGUAUAGGAUUGGGUCCAAGGACCCCAUGCUAGGAAGUUCCAAAGGCAGAACCUCAAGGAAAUCCUAAAAACCAUUCUCACCCAGCACCAAUAAACCAUCAUUCUGGUGUAGACUGCUCUUGAACAUGGAGGUGCUACAUCAGAGCCAAACUGGAAGCUUCAUUUGGCCAUACUUAAGAAAUUAAGAUUCCAUAUUCACAAGCAGCUGGGCUCUCAUGUAGAACCUCCAUGUUCAAUGGCAGUGUCACAAUAAUAGUUUGUUGGCACUGGGUGGGAAUAGUUUCUGGGAUUUCCUUGCUGUACCUAUUUUGAGCUUUCUGGAAGCAUGUAGCUGAGCACUGUGAGAAAGAGGAUACUGGGCUGGAAUACAUAUGCCUUUUCCAGCAGCAUUUUGAUAACGGAACCUGCAGUUCUAUAUGCACACCGAGAAGGAAGCAAACUCCAUUAAAGUCAGUGGGAUUUGCUUCCAUAUAAUGAGGGAACAGUUAAUAAACAAUCCCUGAAAAAAUAACAUUGGUAUUGGUUACCAUGAAAGGUCAUUUCCCCCAGUAUAUGGAGGGUAUCCUUUUAACAUGGGUUGUCAUGCCCACUUGCUCCCAUUAGACAGGACUUUAUUGUGUAACUUCAGAGCAAUCCUAAGGUGCAUCUAGCCAAGCUCCUCCACCCAGUUCUGGGACUGUCUGGUGAAAGUGCAAGUGUGGAAGGCUCCAUAAGAAUAAACACAAUAACAUGAAGAAAAACACACAACAAAGCUCUCACCUGAAAACGUGUACAAUGACAGGUAAACAGGAAAAAAGAUCUUAAGGGCAACAAUAGAGAAAAAACAGAAGGCUUCCUCAAAAAAGAGGUAAGAGGCAUGAUCACCAAAUUAAAAGCUGAGACGAAUACCUCACCCAUGAAUCUAGGUGGGUCGGAUAUCUUCCCCUACACUGGGGAGAAAGAACCUUCAUGGUAAGUAAUAUCAAUGUUUAUUUUUGUUUAUUUAUUUAUUUGAUUUAUCUACCACCCUUCCAAAAAUGGCUCAGGGCAGUUUACAAUGUUACUUUCUCCCCCAGUGUAUGUAGGAGGGUAUCCUUUAACAUGGAACAUACCAAAAUGGUUGUCUCCAGGCAGAAGGUUUAUGCUAAAGAGAGACAGUUGUGAAGAUACUACUUUUUCUUGCAGUACUGCAUGGCCAAAGGCAGCUUGGGUGGAUUGGCACACAUUCUGCUUGUAAUACCCGACAAAGGGCGAUACUGAGAACCACAUGGCAGCCUUGCAUUUGUCAGAUAUAGGCGCAUUUGCAGAGAAGGCUGCUGACAUGGCUGCACUGCAUGUGGAGUGAGCUGUGAACCUGGAUGGCAGGCACAACAAAAGUGACUCAUAAGCAAGAAUGAUGCAAGCCUUGAUCCAUCGUGCCAGAAAAGCUUUUGAUGGUUUUGUGCCCAAAGAGGAGGGAUGAAACGAGAUGAACAAGGCCCAUCUGACGCAGAUACCCAGUGUGUUUUGAGGUCAGUUUUGAGAGCCCUUUUUACAUCAAGGGUAUGCCAGAUCCUCUCCUUUGGAUAUUGAGGAGAUGGGCAGAAGGUAGGCAGAACUAUGCCCUGGUUCCUAUGGAAUGGUAUGUUGACCUUCGGGCAGAAGGUAGGGUCAGUUUUGAGUACUGGAUCUGGCAGGAAAAGGCAAAGAUAUUUGUGUAUGGAUAGCGCUCCCAAUUCUGAUGCCCUACAUGCUGAGGUGAUAGCCACUAGAAACAAGCCAUUAUAGGACAACAGCUUGAAUGGUGUUGUCUUGCGUGGUUCAAAUAGAGCCCUUGUCAGUGCAUUAAGGACUUCAUUCAAGUUCCAUGAUGUGAACCUAUGUACUGCAGAAGGUGUGAUGUUAGAUGUGCCUUUGAGGAAUCUCCAAAUGUCUGGAUGGGAAGCCAAGAAGGCCUUGGAUGAAGGACAUAGCAUGGGCAACGUGCUACAAGGUCUGUCUCCAGAGGAUACUAGGUUUCAAGCCCUUGUCCAAGCUGGCUUGAAGGCAAGGACAGUGGGACACUGUUGCUUUCAUAGGUAGCACUUUUGGGGGCCUAGCUCACUUGAGGAAAGCUGUCUACGUAGUCUGAAAGAUUCUGAUGGUGGAAUGACAUCUAGAAGCUAGAAUACUGUUCUGGAUUUUCUUAGGGUAACCCUUGGCAGUUAGUAAGGCAUGCUCAGUUUUCACACAUGAAGCUGAAGCCACAGUGCUGUAGAGGUCCUUGCUGGAGGAGAUCUGGACUGUCUGGACAGGGCCACCGUGAUUCCGCUGCCAAGGCUAUGAGGUCUGAGAAUCACAGAUGUUGAGGCCAGAAGGUAACGACAAGAAUUAGCUGGGUUCCCUGCUCUCUGAAUCUCUGUAUGACAUUCUGUAUUAGAGAGAAAGGAGGGAAGGCAUACAACAACCUCUGAGGCCUCAGAGGAUGUCUAUCCCGCCUGAGGGCAGUGGUAUCUGGAGAAGAAUCUCGGCAUCUGGCAGAGGUUGAGGACCAGUAGACUGAAGUGUUGAGCUAUCAUGGCAAACUUUGUGGGGUGACACAUGUUCUCUGCUUGAUCCCCUUGAUGUCUUCUGUCAGUCUGCCUCCACUUUCUGCACUCUGCUGUUUGGCCGCGAUGGAUGCCCAGUAAAGAUUUUGUCCGAUUUUUCCAUCAGUGACCAGGAACGUGUGCUGCCCUGGCAGUUGAUGUGAGCCUUGGUGGCCACGUUGUCCAUCCUGAUGAGAACACGUUGGCCUUGAAUGACCUCCACAAAUUGAAGAAGGGUGAGGUGAACCGCCCUGAGUUCCAGCCAAUUUAUGCUGAGCGGUGUCUCUGUGGCAGACCAGGUGCCUUGGACCAUCAGGUUGUUGCAGUUGGCUUCCCACCCCAACUUGCUGGCAUCAGUGGUGAUUUGAAUGGGUGGAAGCGAUUUUCGGAGAACUCCCUGCUCUAAGGCUGGAGGUGUCCACCAUAGUAAAGGCUGUUGGAGUGGUGCAGGAAUUCUGACACGCAGAUGUGCCCUGGCCAUGACUUGAUCCUGGUGAGGAAGGAGCAGCCACUGUAGGUGUCAGGAAUGCCAUCGAGACCAUGGAACAGUGUCUGUGCGCAAGAUGCUGCUGCCCAGCAGCCUCGCCAGCAUCAUCAGGUCUGCUGAGCAACAAGCUAGGAUCUGCCAGAUACAAGAACCACGAGUGAAAAUGAAAAGCAUCUUAUCUCUCGUCUUAAACUGAAAAUUUUUGGAUUAGUGAAUUAUACCUAUGCCUGGUAUAACAACACUCAGAGUGCUUGAAAAUGACUGGAUGAUUUUUCAGUUGCCAGAUACACUACCUUGGUGUCCUUGAACCUCCAAGCCACAUGGAGAAUGCAGUGAUCUCCAUACUUCUACUUCAAACAGUAGAGCACGGUCAAGCAGCAUCUGAGCAGAAAACCGAGCACAAUCGCUGGUCCUGACAGCCACCAGGUUUUGCCCAGAGGGAUCGCAGUGCGCGGCUGCACAGCCCCGCUACAGCACUACAUGAAUUUCCAGACAGACGACCGCCUUCGCUCAAUCACAGUCCUAUACUUUUAAUUGCAAAUUAUUCAAUUUUCAGCUCUUAUAGUUCAUACUCAUAGUAUAGUAUAUAAGUAUAAUAUCUGUGCUUUUAUCAUUUUAAUAGCCUCACAGUCUUUUAUAAUCAGAUUUUAUUAUAAUUUGUAUGACCAUAAUUUAAUAAUCUUAAUAUAAUAAUUUCUCUUAGCCAGCAUGCGUGCCCAGACUUUUUUGCGGUGGAACUCUCACAACACGCUGCGAGAGUUCCCGGCAUUACCCGGCCACGGUAAUGGCGGCAGCGGCGGCCCGGCCCAACCCAGUAAGGAGGAGAAGGCAGCAGGCCUGGCCCAGCCAUUGGGGUCAGGAGGUGGCUGGGCCGCCAGGAAGAGGAGCCGGUGGGCAGUGGUAGAGCUGUGCCACUGAGAGCAGAAGGUGGGGGAAGGGCAGGAGAAGGUCAGGGGAGCAGAAGCUGGCGGGAGAGCAGGAGAGACAGCCGCGGUGAGGAGGAGGAGGCUGGCCUGGCCACCAGGGUUUGGAGGCAGCGGGCGGUGGAAGAGGAGGCAGCGGGCAGCGGUAGAGCCAGGCUGCCAAGAGCAGCCCGGGAAGGAAAGUGUGGCCAGGAACGGAAACGUGAGAAGACUGGGGCAGAAGGUGGGAGGGAGGGCAGGAGAGACUGGGGCAGAAGGUGGGAGGGAGGGCAAGA
Hemicordylus capensis (graceful crag lizard) is the source of this 4681-nucleotide long non-coding RNA. RefSeq lists it as uncharacterized. Lineage: Eukaryota; Metazoa; Chordata; Lepidosauria; Squamata; Cordylidae. The transcript has 3 exons. The record is from RefSeq and is a predicted model, not a curated record.